GGCAAGACAAGGAGGAGACCCGGAACCCUGGGAGAGGAAAAGGGUCAGAAAAAGUAUAGAAAAUGUCCAAGACGACAUCGUCGUCGGUGGUGGUGCGGCCCGAAGAUUAUGCCCACAGUCCGGUCCACUACGCCGUGGCGGUUGGCGAUCACAGCACCCUUAAUAAACUGCUUUCCUCUUUGCCCCGACUCGUUGAUCCGAACCGAAUACGGACAGAGUCUGACUCCCAAGCCCAAGAAUGUCUCGCCGAAAAAAUAUCCGCCGUCGUCGACCGCCGCGACAACAGUCUAAGGGAAACUCCAAUCCAUCUCGCUGUUCGUCUUAAUGACGCCACCGCCGCUCGCUGGCUUGCUGCUGCGGGGGCCGAUGUCUCCCUUCAGAACGCCGCAGGAUGGAACCCCCUUCAGGAAGCUCUACUUCGCCGCUGCCCGGAGAUUGUAUCUACCCUCGUUCAGCAUCAUCACCUUUCCUCCUGGUCCAAGUGGCGCCGCCGCCUUCCUCGUUUAGUUGCUGCCCUCCGCCGCAUGCGCGACUUCUACAUGGAGAUCUCCUUCCAUUUUGAGAGUUCCAUCGUGCCAUUCGUCGGAAAAAUAGCCCCCUCCGACACUUACAAAAUCUGGAAACACGAUGGCAACCUCCGAGCGGACACAUCUCUCGCCGGUUACGACGGUCUCAAAAUCCAACGUGCCAAUCAAAGUUUCCUCUUCCUCAACGACAUUGAUAGCACUCUCGAAAUCCCCGCUGGAUCCCUUCUCGUCCUUAAUCACGACGACAAAAAAAUCUUCGACGCAUUUGAAAAUGGGGGAAGCCCAUUAUCUGAUUCCGACAUUUCAAGCUUCUGUAAUCAGACCAGCGUUUACAGGCCUGGAAUGGAUGUCACGAAAGCAGAGUUAGUGGGCCGUACUAAUUGGAGACGACAGGAAAAAACAGAAAGUGUAGGGCAGUGGAAAGCGAAGGUUUACGAAAUGCACAAUAUUAUCUUUACUUUCCGGUCACGUAAAAUUAAUGCCGGAGAUAAUAGAGAAGAUCCAUUUGGGACCAACUACGUCUUGCCGUUAGAAAUUGACGAAGAGUCCGAUGAAGGGUUUAUAGUCGCUGAGAAUCCAAGAUUUAGCGUGUCUAAUGACAGGCAACGGAGGCACAGCAAUUUUGUGAGGGAGGAUAGGGAACGGAGGCACAGCAGUUUUGUGAGGGAGGAUAGGGAGUUCGUGACGGUGUCUAGGAAGAGUGUGGAUAUAAUUCCGGUGGAUGGGAGGAGAAGGGCACCGGAGAGACUAGUUGCGCCGCCGCUGACGAAAGAGAAGGAAUACGUGAAGAGCCUGCGACCAAUGGUUUGGUUAACGGAACACUUUCCAUUGAAAACGGAAGAGUUGCUGCCGUUACUUGAUAUCUUGGCAAAUAAAGUAAAGGCCGUUAGACGCAUGAGGGAGCUGUUAACGACGACGUUUCCUCUCGGGACAUUUCCGGUAAAGGUAAAGGACGAAUUUGUCAUAGACCAACUGUUUCUGAUUCAGUGAAAGCUUUACUUUGAAUUGAUUUGCUUUGCUUCAAUUUAAUUCCUUCUUUUGAUGCAUAACCAAUGUCUCUCUCUUUUAGCAACCAAGACCGUAUGAUUUGACGUGGAAGUAUCCUAUUGGUCUUUUUGUGGGCCCUUAAAAUACAAGCUUUAGGUAUAAAAAU
This 1680-nucleotide long non-coding RNA is filed under the name Olea europaea subsp. europaea. Lineage: Eukaryota; Viridiplantae; Streptophyta; Magnoliopsida; Lamiales; Oleaceae. The record is from RNAcentral.